Molecule: ribosomal RNA, 393 nt
Filed under: Malagasya antongilensis
Lineage: Eukaryota; Metazoa; Arthropoda; Malacostraca; Decapoda; Deckeniidae
Description: partial 16S ribosomal RNA
Source: RNAcentral
UUUUUAAUUGAGAUCUUGUAUGAAUGGCUGGACGAAGGAAAUACUGUCUUUGUGUUAAAAAUUGAAUUUAACUUUUAAGUGAAAAGGCUUAAAUAUUCUAGAAAGACGAUAAGACCCUAUGAAGCUUUACAUUUAAAUAUAAUUAUUAUUUAAUUUAAAAGUGAAGAUAUAAUUAUAAUUAUUUGGUUUGGUGGGGGAGAUAAGAGUAAAAUUUUUUAUUACCGGCUAAAUUAUUAACCAAUGAUGUACGUAUAAAAAAGUUAAUAGACCCUUUUUAAAGAUUUAAAGAUUAAGUUACUUUAGGGAUAACACCGUUAUUUCUUUUUUGAGUUCCUAUCAUAGAAGAAGAUUGCGACCCCCACGUUGAAUUAAAAUAUCUUCAUAAUGCAGNUG